CUCAGGAUGAACGCUGGCGGCGUGCCUACACAUGCAAGUCGAACGAAGAGGCCUCUUCGGAGGUACUUCAGUGGCGGACGGGUGAGUAACACGUAGGUGACCUACCCCGAAGUGUGGAAUAACAGUCCGAAAGGAUUGCUAAUACCGCAUGUGAUCUGUGAGGUUAGAGUCUUGCAGAUUAAAGCAGUAAUGUGCUUCGGGAGGGGCCUGCGCCCCAUCAGCUAGUUGGUAGGGUAAUGGCCUACCAAGGCUACAACGGGUAGGGGGCCUGAGAGGGUGACCCCCCACAUUGGCACUGACACACGGGCCAAACUCCUACGGGAGGCAGCAGUGAGGAAUAUUGCUCAAUGGGCGAAAGCCUGAAGCAGCAACGCCGCGUGCGCGAUGAAGGCCUUCGGGUCGUAAAGCGCUUUUGAGAGGGACGAGAUAGGACGGUACCUCUUGAAUAAGUCACGGCUAACUACGUGCCAGCAGCCGCGGUAAAACGUAGGUGGCAAGCGUUAUCCGGAUUCACUGGGCGUAAAGCGCGUGCAGGUGGCUCUGUAAGUUGGAUGUUAAAUCUUCCGGCCUAACCGGGAGUGGUCAUUCAAUACUGCGGGGCUUGAGGGCAGAAGAGGGGGGUGGAAUUGCCGGUGUAGUGGUGAAAUGCGUAGAUAUCGGCAGGAACACCUGUGGCGAAAGCGGCCCCCUAGUCUGCUCCUGACACUCAGACGCGAAAGCCAGGGUAGUGAACGGGAUUAGAAACCCCGGUAAUCCUGGCCGUAAACGAUGGAUGCUAGGUGUAGGUGGUAUUGACCCCAUCUGUGCCGAAGCUAACGCGUUAAGCAUCCCGCCUGGGGACUACGGGCGCAAGGUUUAAACUCAAAU
RNAcentral lists this ribosomal RNA (867 nucleotides) under uncultured bacterium. RNAcentral describes it as "bacterial SSU rRNA". It matches the Rfam family "Bacterial small subunit ribosomal RNA", at positions 23 to 906 of the family's 1533-position model. The record is from RNAcentral.